Pieris rapae (cabbage white) is the source of this 372-nucleotide long non-coding RNA. RefSeq lists it as uncharacterized. The record is from RefSeq and is a predicted model, not a curated record. The transcript has 3 exons. NCBI's taxonomy places the organism in Eukaryota, Metazoa, Arthropoda, Insecta, Lepidoptera, Pieridae.
AGUAAGCUUGUUCUGAUCCUGAAUUCAAAUGGAAAAAAACAAUUACCUUUAGGGAGAAGAAACCUUAUACUUUCAAAGGGAUUGAUUCACAGUUAAGAUUUCGUCGUGAUCAUCAUUACUCUAUCAAAGGCCUUGGGGGCACUUCCGUCAAAACUAUCGCCGUACCAUUUGUUCGAUAGAUUAUGCCAAUGAGUGGCUAAUUCAAGUUAAUGAAACCUUCAGUUCUAAUACCUUUGCAGCUUAGAGUAAUUUACAGAGAAACUGUUGGUGAAACAGAUUCAAUAUACGUCAAUACGUGCGAUGCUUAAUUAAUGUUAUAGAUGGUUAAGUUUCAUACACUGAUUAAUUGAAAGCACUGGCUUAGAGCUGUAU